CCUACGGGUGGCAGCAGUGAGGAAUAUUGGUCAAUGGGCGAGAGCCUGAACCAGCCAAGUCGCGUGAAGGAUGAAGGCUCUAUGGUUUGUAAACUUCUUUUAUAUGGGAAUAAAGUGAGGCACUUGUUCCUUUUUGUAUGUCCCAUAUGAAUAAGCCUCGGCUAACUCCGUGCCAGCAGCCGCGGUAAUACGGAGGAUGCGAGCGUUAUCCGGAUUUAUUGGGUUUAAAGGGAGCGUAGGUGGGUAAUUAAGUCAGUGGUGAAAGUUUGUGGCUCAACCAUAAAAUUGCAGUUGAAACUGGUUGUCUUGAGUAUAGUUGAGGUAGGCGGAAUGCGUGGUGUAGCGGUGAAAUGCAUAGAUAUCACGAAGAACUCCGAUGGCGAAGGCAGCUUACUAAACUAUAACUGACACUGAAGCGCGAAAGCGUGGGGAUCAAACAGGAUUAGAUACCCGGGUAGUC
RNAcentral lists this ribosomal RNA (460 nucleotides) under uncultured bacterium. RNAcentral's name for it is "partial 16S ribosomal RNA". It matches the Rfam family "Bacterial small subunit ribosomal RNA", at positions 338 to 795 of the family's 1533-position model. The record is from RNAcentral.